CACAAACGGUGGCCGCGCACCGCCCCCCCCCCCCGCCCCCGGGGAGACUGGGGGGGGGAUCUGGACGCCUCGCUAAGGGGAGGGGAGAGAAAGGGGCGACGGGGGACACUUCCCCCUUCCCGGCAAGAAAGUUCGAGCAGGGAACGGGAGAACUCGCCGGUUUUCGACACUUUUUUCAAGGCGCCGGGACGGGGGUUGGGAGGUGUUGCUAACUCAAGUCAGAUGAGCUGCGGAGCUCAGGAGCUCUGACUGCUCUGUUUUCAAUCUCUGAAAUCCCCCCGCCCUCCCCACUCCUCCUUCCCUCCGCCCGGAGAUGCCCCGGUCGCUGUUCCCUGGGCGCCCGCUUCUCCAGGCGCCGGGGCGGAAGCCAGGAUCGAGAAGGAAGGGAGGCAGGGGCUCGGUCCACGCGGACCCUCUUCCUGCUGGCGGCGAACGCAGGUGCCAGGGGUCAUGCUGCGCCCCCCUUAGCGGCUCGCGCAAGUUGCCUGCGGAGCGCAUGUUGGCGAGAAACGAAGCAGCCUUCUGGGUUUGGUGCAUAUGUUUUCUAAGGAGGGUUUUUGUUUUGUUUUGUUUUUUUGGAGACUCCACUAGAGCGGCUGCAGCCAGAUGGAAGUAAUCAGAACCCAACAACGGAGAGAGGGUAGAAAAACCCUCGCUGAAUUUUCGGGCCAAAGUGUGGAUGGGACUAUGUGUCAAAAAACUUGCUUGAGCUAACUGGAGGAGUCCUGGGACCUCCAGCCACCCCACAGCCCAGAACUGGCCGCCCGACUUGGAGAAGGAGGAGGGCCGCUGGCUAGAGUGCCCUCCCAAGGCCUCCAAGGCUCCGGAAUCAUCCCAACAGUGCCUUAGGUAGUCUCUGCUCCCCCUGCACAGCUGAGAAGACUGAGGUUUAAGGAAAUGGAGGGACUUGUCCAAGACCAACUCAACUCCUGCUGGAAUCCAGACACUCACAGAACCUUUCCCGGAUUAUUUUGGCAAAAAAGAUGACUGUGGAGAAGAUGGAAUGUUUUCAGCCAGCAAGAAAACAAGGACCUUGGGCUGCCACUGCAAGGGGCUGAUGCUGCCAGCAACCCAGGUGACUGGGAACUGACGCCCCCUCCAGAACAGGUUGCAAGUGCAGACACUCGAUUUUGUCUGGUGAGACCUGUACUGAGCCUCUGACCUGCAGAAUGGAGUGAUUCUGAAUUUGUAUCAUUAUAAGCCACUAAAUGUGUGAUCAUUUGUUAUGCAG
This is a long non-coding RNA of Heterocephalus glaber (naked mole-rat), 1231 nucleotides long. NCBI's taxonomy places the organism in Eukaryota, Metazoa, Chordata, Mammalia, Rodentia, Bathyergidae. The record is from Ensembl.